This 253-nucleotide ribosomal RNA is filed under the name uncultured bacterium. Its description in RNAcentral is "partial 16S ribosomal RNA". It matches the Rfam family "Bacterial small subunit ribosomal RNA", at positions 524 to 776 of the family's 1533-position model. The record is from RNAcentral.
UACGGAGGGUGCAAGCAUUAAUCGGAAUUAUUGGGCGUAAAGGGCGCGUAGGCGGGUUUGUAAGUCAGAUGUGAAAUUCCAAAGCUCAACUUUGGAGCUGCAUUUGAAACUGCAAGUCUUGAGGGAUGGCGGAGAAAAUAGAAUUCCACGUGUAGCGGUGAAAUGCGUAGAUAUGUGGAAGAACACCGGUGGCGAAAGCGGUUUUCUAGCUUUUACCUGACGCUGAGGCGCGAGAGCAAGGGGAGCAAACAGG